This 119-nucleotide ribosomal RNA is filed under the name Ricinus communis (castor bean). Lineage: Eukaryota; Viridiplantae; Streptophyta; Magnoliopsida; Malpighiales; Euphorbiaceae. The record is from RNAcentral.
GGGUGCGAUCAUUCCAGCACUAAUGCACCGGAUCCCAUCAGAACUCCGAAGUUAAACGUGCUUGGGCGAGAGUAGUACUAAGAUGGGUGACCACUUGGGAAGCCCUCGUGUUGUACGUC